CAGAGUUGAAAAACUCCAACCCCUGUGAAUUUUACCUUUUCGUUGCUUCGGCGGCCCGUGCCCCUCGGGGCUCGAAGCCGCCGGAGGUUAUAAACUCUGAAUUUUUAGUGUAUCUCUGAGUAUAAAAACAAAUAAUCA
This 138-nucleotide unclassified non-coding RNA is filed under the name uncultured Gaeumannomyces. RNAcentral describes it as "sequence contains ITS1". Lineage: Eukaryota; Fungi; Ascomycota; Sordariomycetes; Magnaporthales; Magnaporthaceae. The record is from RNAcentral.